Molecule: ribosomal RNA, 551 nt
Filed under: uncultured archaeon
Lineage: Archaea
Description: bacterial SSU rRNA
Rfam family: Archaeal small subunit ribosomal RNA
Source: RNAcentral
CGGGGUGCAGCAGGCGCGAAAACUCUACAAUGCAGGCAACUGCGAUAGGGGGACAUCGAGUGGCAUCCACCUUGGGUGCCUGUCCAACCGUCUAAAAAACGGUUGUUAGCAAGGGCCGGGUAAGACCGGUGCCAGCCGCCGCGGUAAUACCGGCGGCUCGAGUGGUGGCCGAUAUUAUUGAGUCUAAAGGGUCCGUAGCCGGCUUUGCAAGUCCCCUGGGAAAUCCAGCGGCUUAACCGUUGGGCUUUCAUGGGAUACUACAUUGCUUGGGACUGGGAGAGGUAGGAGGUACUCGAGGGGUAGGGGUGAAAUCCUGUAAUCCUUCGGGGACCACCGGUGGCGAAGGCGUCCUACCAGAACAGGUCCGACGGUGAGGGACGAAAGCUAGGGGCACGAACCGGAUUAGAUACCCGGGUAGUCCUAGCCGUAAACGAUGCCCGCUAGGUGUCACGACGGUCGUGAAUCGUCGUGGUGCCGUAGGGAAGCCGCGAAGCGGGCCACUUGGGAAGUACGACCGCAAGGUUGAAACUUAAAGGAAUUGGCGGGGGAGC